This 369-nucleotide ribosomal RNA is filed under the name uncultured bacterium. RNAcentral describes it as "bacterial SSU rRNA". It matches the Rfam family "Bacterial small subunit ribosomal RNA", at positions 527 to 898 of the family's 1533-position model. The record is from RNAcentral.
GGAGGGUGCAAGCGUUAUCCGGAUUCACUGGGUUUAAAGGGUGCGUAGGCGGAUUAGUAAGUCCGUGGUGAAAUCUCCGAGCUUAACUCGGAAACUGCCGUGGAUACUAUUAAUCUUGAAUGCUGUGGAGGUUAGCGGAAUAUGUCAUGUAGCGGUGAAAUGCAUAGAUAUGACAUAGAACACCAAUUGCGAAGGCAGCUGGCUACACAGAGAUUGACGCUGAGGCACGAAAGCGUGGGGAUCAAACAGGAUUAGAUACCCUGGUAGUCCACGCCCUAAACGAUGAUUACUCGACAUUUGCGAUAUACAGUAAGUGUCUGAGCGAAAGCAUUAAGUAAUCCACCUGGGAAGUACGACCGCAAGGUUGAA